Phyllostomus hastatus (greater spear-nosed bat) is the source of this 106-nucleotide small nuclear RNA. NCBI's taxonomy places the organism in Eukaryota, Metazoa, Chordata, Mammalia, Chiroptera, Phyllostomidae. The record is from RefSeq and is a predicted model, not a curated record.
UGUAGCUUCGGCAGCAUGUAUAUUAAAAUUGAUGAUACAGAGAAGAUUAUUAGCAUUGUCCCUGUGCAAGGAUGGCAUGCAAAUUCAUGAAGUUUUACAUAUUUUU